This is a long non-coding RNA of Oncorhynchus gorbuscha (pink salmon), 1611 nucleotides long. RefSeq lists it as uncharacterized. The transcript is spliced from 3 exons. The record is from RefSeq and is a predicted model, not a curated record. Lineage: Eukaryota; Metazoa; Chordata; Actinopteri; Salmoniformes; Salmonidae.
AAAGUUCAAGGGGGCCGAAUACUUUCGCAAGGCACUGUAUUUAAUCCAUUUUAGAAUAAGGCUGUAAUGUAAAACAAAUUAGGGAAAAAGUCAAGGGGUCUGAAUACUUACCGAAUGCAGUGUAUGUACACUUGUUUAGUGCAGUGAGAGUCAGAGAGAGGGUUGAGCAUCAUUUAAGAGCCCACAUUGCUAACCGGAGUUUGUAUUGUGUAGGAGAAAAGAGUCUGGGUGGAGUUUGUAUUGUGUAGGAGAAAAGAGUCUGGGUGGAGUUUGUAUUGUGUAGAAGAAAAGUGUCUGGGUGGAUGCACAAGCCCUGGAGGUUGAGCUGACAGACUGGCAGAGAGAGCAGGAACCAGACACUGACCAUGAGGCCAUUACCAUACCAGCCUGCCAACCAUCAUCACACAGAUGCUGGAGGGGAAUGUGCGGGUCUCUCUGAUCAGUGAAUCACUUUAGAAUCAGACCACACAGGUGGGGCUCUAUGAGAUGGAGAACCUCAAUAGUUUCUGGGAGAUGCCUGUUGAAUUUGGGAAGGAGCAUCGCUGGGAUCAAAGCACAAAUAACAAGUUCCACCUCUAUCUACUGGCCUCUAAGAGACUGCAUCAUCCUCAUCCUCUAUCAACCCCUGGCUGCUCUGGACCGGGUUGUGAGGAUGGCCUGGCGAUCCAACCCUUCCUAGAGGGACUCCUGUCUCGCUCCUGACUGGCCCAGGGAUACAUCACGCUCACUUUGAAGUUAUGUGGCGUCCUGGAGCGCCAUAUUGAGAUGUAUAGUUGUGUUCGCCCACCCUGCCAGCACCUUUUGACAAUCAUAUUAGUCUGUAGCUGACUUGUACCAGUGUCCUGAGUAGCGUUUGCAGCCAGUGGCUGAUGGUGGUGGAGUAUGUGAGGGUGUUGAUACAGAAGAGGCUGGUGUGUUGUAAUGCAGAGGAGCGACGUGAGCUGGCCCAGAGAAUGGCACUGGAUGCCCAGUACCUGAGGGAUCUCUUCCAGGGCCUGGUUGUGAGGAUACACUUGAGUUUAGAUCCACACCAUACCCAACAUACACCUCAAACCACACCCUCGUUUUAAUUCACUGCACCAUUUUAUGUACAGUUUCCAUUUUCACGUAAAUACAAACACACUGUAUACUAGCAGUCAAAAGUUUAGACACCAACUAAUUCAAGGAUUUUUCUUUAUUUUUACUAUUUUAUACAUUGUCUUCACUAUUAUUCUACAAUCUAUGAAAUAACACAUGGAAUCAUGUAGUAACCAGAAGUGUUAAUCAAAUCAAAAUAUAUUUGAUAUUUGAUAUUCUUCAAACAGCAACCCUUUGCCUUGAUGACAGUUUUGCACACUCUUGGCAUCCAUCUUCUCUGACACCCUGGUGCCUAUUCCUAGCUUGCCAUUCUGUCUGCCUACUGCCAUCUGUGCCUGACUACCAAUUUGCACCUUUUAAAUUCACUAAUCACACACACAAGCUUGCGGUUUAUAAGUUAUAUAAACUUGAAAUGAACAGUAAUACAAUUAAAAUGUGUGAAAUUCAUGACUUCUUUAUUGGAAUAAUAUGUUGAUGAAUCUGAUAACUUUUAAGUGUUUGAUCACUGCCAGAAAGAAAUACAGGUAACAAAAU